This 216-nucleotide RNase MRP RNA is filed under the name Tigriopus californicus. Its description in RNAcentral is "rNase MRP". It matches the Rfam family "RNase MRP". Rfam says of the family: RNase MRP is an enzymatically active ribonucleoprotein with two distinct roles in eukaryotes. In mitochondria it plays a direct role in the initiation of mitochondrial DNA replication. Lineage: Eukaryota; Metazoa; Arthropoda; Copepoda; Harpacticoida; Harpacticidae. The record is from Rfam by way of RNAcentral.
GGGUUAUUCCUAGCCUUGCUAUCGAAGAUUGGCGACAAUUUUCGAGGAAAUUCCCUGGACCUUGGGCAGAAAGUGUCGGUCGUUGACGACUCCAUCAGUUGAGACGGGUUACCGCUGUGACUCUCCGGAUGAGCCUGAACCCGUCAGAUUGUGUUGGUCAAAGCAAAGUGAUGCAAGGGAAGUUUGCAACUCAACAGGGGUCACUCAGGAAUAACG